This 468-nucleotide ribosomal RNA is filed under the name uncultured bacterium. RNAcentral's name for it is "partial 16S ribosomal RNA". It matches the Rfam family "Bacterial small subunit ribosomal RNA", at positions 28 to 507 of the family's 1533-position model. The record is from RNAcentral.
GACGAACGCUGGCGGCGUGCCUAAUACAUGCAAGUCGAACGGACAGGCACUGCUUUUGUGGGGUGUUCGAGUGGCGGACGGGUGAGUAACACGUGGGUAACCUGCCCUUGAGUUUGGGAUAACUUCAGGAAACUGGAGCUAAUACCGGAUAAUACUUUUUGAUUCAUGGUGGGGGGUGGAAAGUUUCUGUGGUUGGGGAUGGACUCGCGGCUUCUCAGCGUGUUGGGGGGGUAGUGGCUUACCAAGUCUUUGACGGGUAGGCGGCAUGCGGGCGUGAACGGCGACCUGGCGACUGAGAUACGCCGCAGUCUCCUACGUGAGGCAGUAGUCGAGAAUAUUACGGAACAAGCGGGAGCGUGAGACAGCAACUCUGCGUUCGUGAUAACGUGUUGCGAGGUGUAAACCGCUAUCGCCGUAGAUGAAGCGUGAGUGACGGUAAUUAGUAAAGAAGCAACGGCUAACUACGUG